CUCCUCCUCCCCCCCGCCGCGGGGAAUAUUGCACAAUGGGGGAAACCCUGAUGCAGCGACGCCGCGUGAGUGAAGAAGUAUUUCGGUAUGUAAAGCUCUAUCAGCAGGGAAGAAAAUGACGGUACCUGCCUCCUCCUCCCCUUCUCCCUCCUUUCCCUCCUCCUCCCCAACACGUAGGGGGCAAGCGUUAUCCGGAUUUACUGGGUGUAAAGGGAGCGUAGACGGCCAGACAAGUCAGAAGUGAAAGCCCAGGGCUCAACUCUGGGACUGCUUUUGAAACUGCCGGGCUGGAGUGCAGGAGAGCC
RNAcentral lists this ribosomal RNA (305 nucleotides) under uncultured bacterium. RNAcentral describes it as "bacterial SSU rRNA". It matches the Rfam family "Bacterial small subunit ribosomal RNA", at positions 61 to 658 of the family's 1533-position model. The record is from RNAcentral.